RNAcentral lists this long non-coding RNA (1513 nucleotides) under Hordeum vulgare. RNAcentral's name for it is "long non-coding RNA (HVUL_LNC012989)". The record is from RNAcentral. Lineage: Eukaryota; Viridiplantae; Streptophyta; Magnoliopsida; Poales; Poaceae.
CCGCAUUCAAUAGUUCCUGAAACAGAGGUCGAGUUGCAGAAACAAUAGCCGCGUUGCGAAAACAACGAUCGUGUUGCAAAAAAAAAUUCUGAAAUAACGGUCACAUUGCAGAAAAUAAUUUACACAACUCCUGAAACAAUGGCUGAGUUGAAACAACAACCCCGUUGCAGAAAUGUUGCAGGCUCAGUUGCGGAGCAGCCUCGAUGGCGGAGGGCGACGGACAGGUUGGCGGCGGAGGUCCGCGGGGCCACGAGCAGGGGCGGCGGCGGAGGGCGCGCGGGGUCGCGGGCGAGUAGGGGCGACGGGCCGCGAGCAGGGCGGCAGGCAGGACGGCGCGCGGAGGGGUGGCGGGGCCACAACAGGCCGGCAGCGGUGGGUGGCUGGGCCACAUCAGGCCAACGACGGAGGGGCGGCGAGGCCGCAGCAGGCCGGCAGCGCGAGGUCGUCGGAGCCGAGGCUGAGGCGGAGGCACGGACUGAGCAGUUUUCUGAAACAACUGCCCAGUUUCAGAAUCGCGGGCACGGUCGGUUAGAUGGAGUAAGAUCCAACGAACGAGGAAGCGGUGGACAGUUUGUUCGGAUCCAUCGAUGAAAGUUAAAGAGUUUUUCAAAAACUCUACCCCCUACAUCUAGGAACCGAGGGAGUAAUAAAUAUAUCGAGUAGAAUGGCUAGCUAGAUGACCUAUAGUACAUCAUCAAUUGUUGGAUAAGAAAUUGAUCAAUAAUUCGAUGAGGUUAUGACUUACAGAGUCAAGACUUAGGACGGGCCUUCCGAUCCUCACUCGUAUCCUCAUGGCGUGACUAAAGAUAUUAGUCGUACACAUGCUCAAUGGAGAAACAAUCCUAAAUCUGGAAAUCAAGACCAUAUUACAGUGUAGCCUUAGUGCAGCACUAUUUCAUUAUUCAUGCAUUGGUAGGAACAGGAGUAGUAUAGUAUAGAAAGUUACCUACGAUUGGUGUGGUGCGGCAAACGAGGCGGAGAUCGGCUAACAAGUUUUGCACAGCGUUGCCCUGAUCAAGUCCCGCUCGCGCAAGAGAGUCAUGAUGACGGACGACGCCAGCAGCCAGCUUUCCAGGCGAGAUCGUUUCUUCUUUCUCGUCAGCGUCGGCCUCAUCGUCGCCGUCGUCGAAGUCUGUGGCCGGGCUCCCUAGAGCCUACCGUCUCCGUCGCUCCGUUCACCUCCGGGCAUGAAGUUCUAUUGUUGACGCCGAUCGGGAGUCGAGUCGACGCUGAGGUUGAUUGGUUUUCAAGGCGUCGCCAAGUGAAUAGGGUGAAUUCUGGAUUAGGGCAGGGCGACGUUUUGCCUCUCUAUGGCUCGACGCACAACGGGGCGUGGGGCGGCUCUACGGACCGCGUGGUUAGCAUUAUCCGCGUAUAUGCUUGGCAAAAGUAUCUCCAUAUAUCGGACAUCGGUGAGGCGAUUGCGUUUUCCACGGGUAUAUAAGCAACAGAUCGCGUUUUCCACGGGUAUAUAAGCAACAGAUCAUCACAAGGCAUAUGCAUCUCUGCACGC